GACGAACGCUGGCGGCGCGCCUAACACAUGCAAGUCGAACGGAGUCAAGAGGAGCUUGCUUUUCUUGACUUAGUGGCGAACGGGUGAGUAACGCGUGAGUAACCUGCCCUGGAGUGGGGGACAACAGUUGGAAACGACUGCUAAUACCGCAUAAGCCCACGGAUCUGCAUGGAUCUGCGGGAAAAGGAUUUAUUCGCUCUAGGAUGGACUCGCGUCCAAUUAGCUAGUUGGUGAGGUAACGGCCCACCAAGGCGACGAUUGGUAGCCGGACUGAGAGGUUGAACGGCCACAUUGGGACUGAGACACGGCCCAGACUCCUACGGGAAGCAGCAGUGGGGGAUAUUGCACAAUGGGGGAAACCCUGAUGCAGCGACGCCGCGUGGAGGAAGAAGGUUUUCGAAUUGUAAACUCCUGUCGUUAGGGACGAUAAUGACGGUACCUAACAAGAAAGCACCGGCUAACUACGUG
Molecule: ribosomal RNA, 468 nt
Filed under: uncultured bacterium
Lineage: Bacteria
Description: partial 16S ribosomal RNA
Rfam family: Bacterial small subunit ribosomal RNA
Source: RNAcentral